Molecule: ribosomal RNA, 231 nt
Filed under: uncultured bacterium
Lineage: Bacteria
Description: partial 16S ribosomal RNA
Rfam family: Bacterial small subunit ribosomal RNA
Source: RNAcentral
UGAGGAACAUGACCUUCGGCGGGGGAUAGCCGGCCCAACGGCCGGGUAAUACCGCGUACGACCACUUGAGGACAUCCUCGGGUGGUGAAAGCAGCAAUGCGCCGAUGAAGUGCCUCGCGGCCUAUCAGCUAGUUGGUGAGGUAACGGCUCACCAAGGCGACGGACGGGUAGCUGGUCUGAGAGGAUGGCCAGCCACAUUGGGACUGAGACACGGCCCAGCUCCGUAGGGAG